GCGAGGGGAGGGGUUCAGAUUGUUGCUUUCAAGGACAGCUUUGGCCCGGGGAUGUUAAAAAGCGGAACGCCACCGAUGAGAAUUGGCCAAGCGAACCCCUUUCCUUGGAAAGUCUUCAUCGCGGACUCGCAUCUUUCCUGCUUCUUAUCGCUGCUUCGGGCACGAGCGUUUAUUUAAUGGUUUAUUUAAGAUCUAACUGUGCUUUUCUAUCCUUUUGUAGGUGCAGCCAGCUCUCCCUCCUGUUCAUGCUGAGCAAGAAAAACAGGCCCCUCAACCGGAGCGCUCGCGGUCUCUUCAGCCAGAUUUACGAAGGCAGCUGUUCCUAGGAAACCUUUCACCCAUACCUUCCCUGGGGAGUGCAGAACAACCCCAUCGCCUUCAGAGGAGAAAGUGGACUCGAAAGUUGUAAGAAGCACCACGGAAAUACUCCCGCACAUUGAACAAUCUGCUGAGGAAGGAGGGGUAAAUCCUGGCAUGGUUCAGCCAUCCCUUCUCCAAGGACCUCGCCCUGCUUCCAUCGUUCCUGCAGUGCCUUAACUUGGGAGACAGCGAGUGGCAAAGCAGAAGGCUCAGUCACAGAACCACAAAGCAGGACUGAAGUCAGCCUCUGUAUGUGGAUGAGUCAAACCGCCAAAGCAUUUUGGAAACAAUCCAGCAGCCAGCCCUGAGUGGCUCCUCCUUCCUCUGAGCGCAGCUGACCGUCCAUCCCCUUCCAUAUGGUGAUGCCUGCCAGGAAUCAGCGACGCUGUUGGCUCGACGGGGCGCGCGCGUGUGUACGCACACGUUGUUGUCCGGCGUUGGGAAGUCGGGCUGCAAGCUGGGGAACGGCCCCAUUUUUAUCUCUCCAUCUAAACGUCUAUUUAUGUGUCUUGUAAUCGGGCCUGAGAGGCUGCAAAGGGCGGGAGAGGAAGGCUGCUCCUCUGUGCCGCUCUGCUUUUAGGGGAGCGCGGCAAAAGUCUCCCCGUUUCGGCCUCCCCAGGGAGAAGGGAAGCGUGGCCAACGCUCACAAACAGAAAAACUGGCUUGGAGUGGUCUGGGGGGAGGAAAAUCAGGUGAUUGCUCAAAGGGGUGUUAAGGGGAUUUAAAGGAAGGUGCCAAGACUGGGGGGAUGUACAGAUGUGUUAGCUUAAGGUAAACUAUUUGCUAUAUCCCUAUACACAGGAUCUAGUGUGUAUAAAUCAGCAAGAAAAUGUUGGAGAGUGGGGAAUUCUGAUGGGAUCUGAGCUUUUUCCAUGGUGCUUUCCUGCAGGAAUAUGUCCAACCACCUCUGUGUACACUGCCUCUCCCAAGAAUUCAACGAGCAUCCCCGAGUCUGCCAGCCCAGGUACUGUGUCUUUCCAGCUUCUUAUUCCAAGUACCCUGACUGGGGAUAGAGAUUAGCAGGGAAUCAAAUAUAAAUGCCUUUUGGAUAAAAAAACCCCACCCAAACAAUUAAAAAACAAUGUUUGAGGAGAUUGGAAAGAACCCCCGAGGAACGUCUGACACAGAGCGCAAGGAAAUUUGAGUUGGGAAUAGGGGAAGGUAAGAGGUAACCGUGAACCUGCAGCUGUAAAUUCAGUGGUGCUGGGAUCCCAGGGGGCUCCACCUUAUCCCUUUGAGCCCAGAGAAACACAGACAAAUCACAGAAGCAAACGGCAAAAGCCAAGGGGAGGAGUGGGAAGGGAGGGAACGAGCUGCAUUUGAUUAAUUCCAGAGCCAACUGGCACUCACUUGAUGGAAAUGCUAAUUUUCCCCCUGACAUACACCCACUAGUCAUUCCCCUCAUCUCCUCUAAAUGAAGCAGUCUUUUCUUAAACCACAGGUAACACAAGAAUAUCCAGGUUUCCACCCUUCCUCUUCCUCCCUGUCACACCCCCACUUACAGGACCAGCUGAACUAUUUACUGCGUGGAAAUGCUACACAGCUGCUUUUUAUUGCUGUGCUUGGUUAAGAGUCAGCCCUCACUCCAAAGGAACACUUCCUGCCCCGCUGGAAGCAGCCUGGGACAACUCCUGAAUAUCCACACCAGGUCACUGAGCGAUACCUGCAGGUGCCUUUUACACUUUGUGCUCCCAGAGCAGCUCUUGGGGCUGCCUCACACGCAAACACAGGGCAGGCUGCUCCCCAAAAUAAAGCUCUUUAUUACCAGAAACGCAUGCAAGAGGCUACUGUAGAGGCAGAAGCGUUUCCAGCAGCCAGCCUGUAAAUAAAUGUCAUCAGAAGCCCCCAAAGGGCUGGUUUAAACUGUGUGCUUAUUUAUUUACACAAGUAUCUUGCACUGUUUCAGAGAAAUGACCCAUUUGCAAUGCUGCUGCAUCCCCUGGAGAGUGUUGGGCUUCUAAUGAGAUCCAGGACAGAGUGGCUUAAAGGAUUAGGAGCUGAAGUCACCGGGAGUCUGGGGAAGGAAGAAGCCGGCGCUGGAUCAAGACAGGUCCUGGGCUGUGGGGAUGGAAGAGAAGCAGCCAGGGAUGGCUGCAGCUUAAAGCAGGAGGUUUCCCUAGGUCUGGGCAGGCAGAAAACUCCCAGCAGCAGGAGCAGAGGGAGCGGGCAGUGCCGUGGAGUGCCCCGAGCCGUGAGGGCUGACAAGGCUCAUCUGUUCAGUCACUCCUCAGAAAUGAUCAACAUCUUCCUCAGGCUGCUGCUGUGAGCCAGCACCGUGCCUCGUUCAACUCCUCAGGAUCAAUACCUGGAGAGAAGUCAGCUAUUGACCUGUUUUUUGGGCAAAACUGCACGGGAAUUACCAAUCCAUGCACGCUCCAGGAACUCGGGAGAGGUCUUCUCAAUGAACCAACCUUAAGAUACAGUUGGAAUUAUCAAUAGCCUUUCAUCCUUCAAAGCAAAGUUUGUGCUAGGAGGAAAGAAAUGAGAUUAUUUCCACGGUGUCAUCUUGCCUUUUCAGUGGGACACUGCCAGCUCUUCCCCAAAACAAGCAGAGCCCAGCAACACUUGAGUUGCUCUCCCUCUACAAUCCAAAGAAAGCUGCCACUGUAAAACUUAAACAGCUUUGGAGUUACAAGGCUUGCCUUGUUCAACCACAGGUAAGUUGGGAUGAGUCAAAGCUCAAAGAUUUUAAAAGGAAGGAGGAGGAAAAGGAAAAAAAGCCAAAGGAACAAGCACACAGUGAUAGUGGAAAGUGUUUUGCAAUCACUGGCACAAUAAAUGAGCCUUUUCAGUUGGAACAGGCCGCAGGAUGCUGCACUAGUGCUCAAAGUAGCUGGGCUUGUAUGCUCAGGAGAAGAGAGAAGGGAUCUGUUCAAAUCCCCCCCCAAGUUUACAGGAAUAAACCCUGUUCUCCAGAGGGUGUGUUUAAAUGUACUUUGCAUUUUGAUCUCAGAAGAAGCAAAGUUUGCCUAAUAGCCUGAGCAAAGCAUAUUAUUUUAAUAUUGGAAGAUAGUUCAGCUGCCUCUGUAUCUGAUUAUCCCAGUCCCUCCCAUGGGCAUUUACACCAUGCUUAAACUUCCAAACAGAAUCCCAGACUGGUUUGGGUUGGA
This is a non-coding RNA of Cyanistes caeruleus (blue tit), 3470 nucleotides long. NCBI's taxonomy places the organism in Eukaryota, Metazoa, Chordata, Aves, Passeriformes, Paridae. The record is from RefSeq and is a predicted model, not a curated record.